RNAcentral lists this ribosomal RNA (611 nucleotides) under Saccharomyces cerevisiae (brewer's yeast). Its description in RNAcentral is "partial 26S ribosomal RNA". It matches the Rfam family "Eukaryotic large subunit ribosomal RNA", at positions 67 to 664 of the family's 3401-position model. Lineage: Eukaryota; Fungi; Ascomycota; Saccharomycetes; Saccharomycetales; Saccharomycetaceae. The record is from RNAcentral.
CACGGGCAUUGCCUUAGUACGGCGAGUGAAGCGGCAAAAGCUCAAAUUUGAAAUCUGGUACCUUCGGUGCCCGAGUUGUAAUUUGGAGAGGGCAACUUUGGGGCCGUUCCUUGUCUAUGUUCCUUGGAACAGGACGUCAUAGAGGGUGAGAAUCCCGUGUGGCGAGGAGUGCGGUUCUUUGUAAAGUGCCUUCGAAGAGUCGAGUUGUUUGGGAAUGCAGCUCUAAGUGGGUGGUAAAUUCCAUCUAAAGCUAAAUAUUGGCGAGAGACCGAUAGCGAACAAGUACAGUGAUGGAAAGAUGAAAAGAACUUUGAAAAGAGAGUGAAAAAGUACGUGAAAUUGUUGAAAGGGAAGGGCAUUUGAUCAGACAUGGUGUUUUGUGCCCUCUGCUCCUUGUGGGUAGGGGAAUCUCGCAUUUCACUGGGCCAGCAUCAGUUUUGGUGGCAGGAUAAAUCCAUAGGAAUGUAGCUUGCCUCGGUAAGUAUUAUAGCCUGUGGGAAUACUGCCAGCUGGGACUGAGGACUGCGACGUAAGUCAAGGAUGCUGGCAUAAUGGUUAUAUGCCGCCCGUCUGAAAACAGGGGGCCAAAAAAAAAAAAAAAAAAAAGAAAA